CCGCCAAGGUCCCACCUUUCCAACAUCAGCAAAAGUCAUAAGACAUUCAUCUGUUAGAGAAUCAAAUAAAGUACCUGGAAGAGACCAAGUUACGAAUUUGGGCAAGAAACCUGAAGUAUCUUUUCAAGCACAACAGCAUCCUCAUGAAGCCAGGUAGGAAUAGAAGAAUUUAACGAGUUUGCACUGAAUGCUUCAAGGACUAAACAUUCUGCCCUAAAAAAUUAUACUUCACUGUGCAAUAACAGCAAGAUGAUACCACUUUCAGAUGCCAUGCAGUGAUAUAUUAUGUUUUACCCUGAUGUAUGACAAGAACCAUCUUUGGGAAUUGCUUUCAAGCUAUUGUAAUUGCACAGCCAAUUUUUAUCUCUAAUAGCAUGCUGCUGUAUUACAUUUCUGCUACUAUUUCUGUGAUAGGGUGUUAAAUAUAUUAUAUAAAGAAGCUCUGCUAUCUCCAGCCUCCGCAUUUCCUUCCCCCUCAUUUUCUAUUUUUAUUUACAAAGGAUACAUGCCUGGCUUUCCUAUACAAAUCUUUCCUUUCUAAUUGCCUGUAAUCUAUAUUUUUCUGAAAUA
Molecule: non-coding RNA, 570 nt
Organism: Sturnus vulgaris (Common starling)
Lineage: Eukaryota; Metazoa; Chordata; Aves; Passeriformes; Sturnidae
Source: RefSeq, a predicted model, not a curated record